Molecule: long non-coding RNA, 742 nt
Organism: Passer domesticus (house sparrow)
Lineage: Eukaryota; Metazoa; Chordata; Aves; Passeriformes; Passeridae
Exons: 3
Source: RefSeq, a predicted model, not a curated record
CAUUUCCGAACCCAGUCCCCCGCCGCCCCCUCCCCGCUCCAGCUGCAGCAAAACUUUGUGAAGUGCUGAGCCCACAGCCAUGGGCGCCUUCCCCGCGUGGUGGACGUGGCGCGGGCAAAGCCCAGCCCCGGGCUCUGUGCGUGGGGCUGGGCCGCUCAGGUGGCGGCUGCCGGACACCAUGUCCGCUGACCUCAUUGCAGGCACAGAUGUUUACUGCACUUUGGGCGAUCCGCAGAAAGCAGAGCAGUAAAGUAGGCCAGCUUGCGGGAAGGCUGUUACCCACAAUUCAUGGAAAAAUGCCGGAUAGUUCCCACUAGGUUGUGGUCGGCUAGGAAACGGCAACUUAUUAAUCUUGUGUCAGAGGGCCAGCUGCAAGCCUGGCAGUUACCAUAUUUCACCACCAACUCCGUGUCUGGACAGCCAUUGUCUAUUUUUUAUGAAAAACUCCACAAAUCAGCUGCUAUUUUCCCCCCUCUACGUGCAGAAACGGCGCUUGGGGGCUGAGGUGGCUCUGGCGCAUCAUCCACACGGCGGUCAGCAGCACGUUAUGGUUCUGGCUCUGGGUUUUCACUGCAGGUCAAAAGUUUGGUCACAGAAAGUUUGGCCCAUUUUCCACUGAUUUGAGAUCCAACCAAUAAUGAAUCAGAAGCAGAACCAAGAAUAGAUCUAAGGAGUUCUGAAUCACAAGCCACCUCUUUCUCAAAACACCCACUCCCUCCCAGUCAGACAGACGUCCCUUGUU